RNAcentral lists this ribosomal RNA (424 nucleotides) under uncultured bacterium. RNAcentral describes it as "partial 16S ribosomal RNA". It matches the Rfam family "Bacterial small subunit ribosomal RNA", at positions 360 to 776 of the family's 1533-position model. The record is from RNAcentral.
AAUAUUGGACAAUGGGGGGAACCCUGAUCCAGCCAUGCCGCGUGUGUGAAGAAGGUCUUCGGAUUGUAAAGCACUCUAAGUUGGGAGGAAGAGUUGUAGGCUAAUACCUUGCAAUUUUGACGUUACCAACAUAAUAAGCAACGGCUAACUUCCUGCCAGCAGCCGCGGUAAUACGAAGGGUGCAAGCGUUAAUCGGAAUUACUGGGCGUAAAGCGCGCGUAGGUGGUUCAGUAAGAUGGGUGUGAAAUCCCCGGGCUUAACCUGGGAACUGCUUUCAUAACUGCUGAGCUAGAGUACGGUAGAGGGUAGUGGAAUUUCCUGUGUAGCGGUGAAAUGCGUAGAUAUGUGGAGGAAUACCGAUGGCGAAGGCAGCCCCCUGGGAUAAUACUGACGCUCAGACACGAAAGCGUGGGGAGCAAACAGG